GUGUAGCAGUUAUAUGNGUAGAUAUGUGGAGGUACCACCGAUGGCGAUGGCAGCCCCCUGGGAUAAUACUGACGUUCAUGCAUGAAAGCGUGGGGAGCAAACAGGAUNNAUACCCUGGUAGUCCACGCCCUAAACGAUGUCAACUAGCUGUUGGGCCCUUCAGGGCUUAGUAGCGCAGCUAACGCGUGAAGUUGACCACCUGGGGAGUACGGUCGCAAGAUUAAAACUCAAAGGAAUUGACGGGGACCCGCACAAGCGGUGGAUGAUGUGGAUUAAUUCGAUGCAACGCGAAAAACCUUACCUACCCUUGACAUGUCUGGAAUCCUGAAGAGAUUUAGGAGUGCUCGCAAGAGAACCGGAACACAGGUGCUGCAUGGCUGUCGUCAGCUCGUGUCGUGAGAUGUUGGGUUAAGUCCCGCAACGAGCGCAACCCUUGUCAUUAGUUGCUACAUUUAGUUGAGCACUCUAAUGAGACUGCCGGUGACAAACCGGAGGAAGGUGGGGAUGACGUCAAGUCCUCAUGGCCCUUAUGGGUAGGGCUUCACACGUCAUACAAUGGUCGGGACAGAGGGUUGCCAAGCCGCAAGGUGGAGCCAAUCUCACAAACCCGAUCGUAGUCCCAAUUGCAGGCUGCAACUCGCCUGCAUGAAGUCCGGAAUCGCUAGUAAUCGCGGA
Molecule: ribosomal RNA, 675 nt
Filed under: uncultured bacterium
Lineage: Bacteria
Description: bacterial SSU rRNA
Rfam family: Bacterial small subunit ribosomal RNA
Source: RNAcentral